AAAGGUUUAGUUAAAUCAUAACGCUAAUUUGUCAAGUUAUUAUUACCCUACAGGUAGCCUUUA
Molecule: transfer RNA, 63 nt
Filed under: Dorcus curvidens
Lineage: Eukaryota; Metazoa; Arthropoda; Insecta; Coleoptera; Lucanidae
Description: tRNA-Asp
Source: RNAcentral